RNAcentral lists this long non-coding RNA (1291 nucleotides) under Homo sapiens (human). RNAcentral describes it as "long non-coding RNA NONHSAT176414.1". The record is from RNAcentral. Lineage: Eukaryota; Metazoa; Chordata; Mammalia; Primates; Hominidae.
GGCGUUUGGCGUUGCAGCUGUGUGGGCGCUGGUGCGUGCGAGUAGCGCUCGAAGAAACCCAAAGGCGUCGUGGGGCUGCCGUGUGCCCCAGAGAGCACUGCAGGCCGGGUAGGGGCUAAGGCUCCCCGCAGUCUUCUGUGUGUCGUCCAGUACGCAGUUGAAAUCGUUCUCCAACCUGGCCAGUCCUCCGAGGCCCUUCUCAGGCGACCAGACUCUGUUAACAGAGUCCAUUGCUAAAACUCCUCGUUAGUAUUUACCACUCCUCCAGUCUGUGUUUUGAAGCAGUGGUUUUCAACCACUGCCCGUUUUCAGAAGAAAUCAUCUCAAGCGUCCGUGUGCUGCUAGAAGCCGGGCCGGGAGGUCUUGGUGCCGGACUCCACCCUGCAGCCCUUCCCUUUCGCCACCGCCCUGUGCUUAGAGAAACCUUAGAGUGGAGCAAUGAGUCGCCCUUGACUGAGUAACUCUUCGGGGUCAACUUCUCCUUCCACGCCAAGGAAAGGAUUCCAGGGCGAUGUUUCUGGAAAUAGAGAUCUGACCAAGCCACUGCUCUGGUGAAAAUUCAGUGGGUCCCUAGCACCUAGUGCAGCGGCUCCUAGCCUGAGUAUUGCCGUCUUUCGGUGGGGAGGGGUUGGGUUUUUUUGUAGCAUCUGUUGAUCUGAUCUCCAACAUCCUCCACGUCAAUUCCCACUCCACCCACAUCCCUUAUCCUAUACGUAAGCUUUCCAGCCACGGUGCUGGCUUGGGUGGGGGUGCGUGCGGUGCUGACACCAAAAUGGAGGUCCCGUGUUUCUGAGAGUCUCUUUCAGAGCAAUGCAAACCUGAAACUACUCCUGCCAAGAAACGAUUGCAGCUCUUCCCGGAAAAGUUAAAGCCUUUGAGAAACAAAGCUGAGUAAGAAGGAGAACUAAGAAAGAGACUGAAGCAUGGUCUGUGGAGAAGGCACUUGUGCAAACACCAGGAGAAUGAGGGGCCUGAGUUGUCUUCGUUUCUCCUAAAAGCAUGCAUUCCCGGCUGGGCGCGGUGACUCAUGCGUGUAAUCCCGCCACUUUAGAAGGCUGAGGCAGGCGGAUCACCUGAGAUCGGGAGUUCGAGACCAGCCCGACCAACAUGGAGAAACCCCAUCUCUAUUAAAAAUACAAAAUUACCCAGGCAUGGUGGCACAUGCCUGUAAUCCCAGCUACUUGGGAGGCGAAGGCAGGAGAAUUGCUUGAACCCAGAAGGCGGAAGCUGCAGAGAGCCGAGAUUUCGCCAUUGUACUCCAGCCUGGGCAACAAGAGUGAAACUCCAUCUC